ACGUAAUAGAUACCCUGGUAGUCCACGGCCCUAAACGAUGUCUACUAGUUGUUGGUGGAGUAAAAUCCAUGAGUAAACGCAGCUAAACGCGUGAAGUAGACCGCCUGGGGAGUACGGUCGCAAGAUUAAAAACUCAAAGGAAUUGACGGGGGCCCGCACAAGCGGUGGAUUAUGUGGAUUAAAUUCGAUGCAACGCGAAAAACCUUACCUGGCCUUGACAUGCCACUAACGAAGCAGAGAUGCAUUAGGUGCCCGUAAGGGAAAGUGGACACAGGUGCUGCAUGGCUGUCGUCAGCUCGUGUCGUGAGAUGUUGGGUUAAGUCCCGCAACGAGCGCAACCCUUGCCAUUAAUUGCCAUCAUUUAGUUGGGCACUUUAAUGGGACUGCCGGUGACAAACCGGAGGAAGGUGGGGAUGACGUCAAGUCCUCAUGGCCCUUAUGGCCAGGGCUUCACACGUAAUACAAUGGUCGGUACAGAGAGUUGCCAACCCGCGAGGGGAGCUAAUCUCAGAAAGCCGAUCGUAGUCCGGAUUGUUCUCUGC
This 542-nucleotide ribosomal RNA is filed under the name uncultured bacterium. Its description in RNAcentral is "bacterial SSU rRNA". It matches the Rfam family "Bacterial small subunit ribosomal RNA", at positions 774 to 1308 of the family's 1533-position model. The record is from RNAcentral.